GUGCUCGCUUCGGCAGCACAUACACAUAUACAGAGAAGAUUAGCACGGCCCCUGCGCAAGGAUGACACGCAAAUUAUGUGAAUGUAUCAAAUUAUCA
Molecule: small nuclear RNA, 97 nt
Filed under: Propithecus coquereli (Coquerel's sifaka)
Lineage: Eukaryota; Metazoa; Chordata; Mammalia; Primates; Indriidae
Source: RNAcentral